This is a long non-coding RNA of Archocentrus centrarchus (flier cichlid), 853 nucleotides long. RefSeq lists it as uncharacterized. The record is from RefSeq and is a predicted model, not a curated record. NCBI's taxonomy places the organism in Eukaryota, Metazoa, Chordata, Actinopteri, Cichliformes, Cichlidae. The transcript has 3 exons.
AGUUGUAUUGUACCCAGGUGAAACCUGUGCGGUGUUCCGCAAGGGGCCACUCGGAUACCUCCUCCAAGACCCGUCAGAUGAAGGUCGGCGGAUAAAAAAGGACACCAAAGUUCAGAACAAGUCUGUAGCAAUGAGGGAGGACCUGGUACAUCAGAAUGCUCUGACUGUGGUCCGUCACAGAGGAGGGGAUGCCUCCGACUGGCGCGAGGUGUAAGGAGAGUACAUCCUGCAGUUUGUAAAAUAUAAAGGAAAAUCUUUCCGGUGGCUUCUGGAAAAUGAUGUUGGGUACACCAUGUAUGUGAUGAAAAAUGUCCAGAAGGAAGAGGCUGCAGGGAUCGCCAUGGCUGAAAGGCAUAGUGAGGAUAGCCUGCAGUCAUUGGUACAGUAUGCCCUGGGUUUUCCGGAGAUAAAGUCUCUUCAGGAUUAUGAGGCCAGCAGAGUGAGUGCUGCAGCAGAAGUGUCCUGUGAAGAUGAUCAGCUUGUUGGCUUUGGUUUACCAUCUAAGAGCACACGGAAGGAGAUUUGGGAUGGCAGAGGUGAUGGCUACGCGGCCUUUAUCAUGGAAAAGAGCUGCAUUCAAGGAAGACGGAUGUAUAAGCUGCAGCAGUACUUGCGCAAGAAGCAUCAGUCUGCCUCAGCUAGCACAAGGACCUCCACCAAACCCAUUGGAAUGGAUGAUGACAAAGAGUUGGAGGAGGCAAUGCUGAGUGUCUGACCUGAAAAACUUGAAGCCGACAGCUUUACUGUGCCAGCAGCAGCAGCAGCAGCAGAAGUACCCACACCCAGAGUGCCUUCAGGAGCGCUAUAAUCAGGGGUUACAGCGGGCCGGACCGAGUCCGUAAGUUGUGCUCGC